GAUUCCCCUAGUAAGGGCGACUGAAGCGGGAAGAGCUCACCUUGUGAAUCUGUGCAACUCUUGGAGUUGUGCUGAAUUGUGGUCUGGAGAAGCAUUGUCGGCCGUGACUCUUAAGAAGAUCCCUUGGAACAGGGUAGCUAAGAGGGUGACACUCCCGUUCAUAUUUGGAUGUCACGUGCCAUAGUACAUGCCUUCAAUGAGUCGAGUUGCUUGGGAUUGCAGCUCUAAGCAGGUGGUAAAUUCCAUCUAAAGCUAAAUAUUGGUGGGAGACCGAUAGCAAACAAGUACCGUGAGGGAAAGAUGCAAAGAACUUUGAAAAGAGAGUUAAAGAGUACCUGAAAUUGCUGAAAGGGAAGCGAAGGAAACCAGUGUUGGGCUCAGUCAUACUUCUCGUGCCACUUGUGGCAAGGGCGCUGUGUUUGGGCACAUGUCAGGGUCAGUUCAUGAUUGGAAGAGAUGUUGUUUCAACAGGUAGCCCCCUUGUGGGGUCUUUAAUUGAGACUUUUGAUUCUGGUCAGUGCUGAGGCAGUUACAUUUUGUACUUGUGAUGCUGACAAAAUGGUUUUCUUUACCCCGUCUUGAAACACGGACCAAGGAGUCUAACAUAUGUGCGAGUACAGGGGUGAUAAACCCCCGUGCGCAAUGAAAGUGACAGUGGUUGGACCCUUUGGGGCACAAUCCGCCGGCCACAAUCCUUUGGGAGAAAGGUCUGAGUGUGAGCACACAUGUUGGGACCCGAAAGAUGGUGAACUAUGCGUGAAUAGGGUGAAGCCAGGGGAAACUCUGGUGGAGGCUCGUAGCGAUUCUGACGUGCAAAUCGAUCGUCAAAUUUGCGUA
This 837-nucleotide ribosomal RNA is filed under the name Stephanopyxis turris. RNAcentral describes it as "LSU rRNA". It matches the Rfam family "Eukaryotic large subunit ribosomal RNA", at positions 73 to 917 of the family's 3401-position model. The record is from RNAcentral. Lineage: Eukaryota; Bacillariophyta; Melosirophyceae; Stephanopyxales; Stephanopyxidaceae.